RNAcentral lists this ribosomal RNA (800 nucleotides) under uncultured bacterium. Its description in RNAcentral is "bacterial SSU rRNA". It matches the Rfam family "Bacterial small subunit ribosomal RNA", at positions 8 to 827 of the family's 1533-position model. The record is from RNAcentral.
AGAGUUUGAUCCUGGCUCAGGACGAACGCUGGCGGCGUGCCUAACACAUGCAAGUCGAGCGGGGUGAGUUCUUCGGAACGAUCCUAGCGGCGGACGGGUGAGUAACACGUGGGUAACCUGCCUCAAAGUGGGGGAUAGCCUUUCGAAAGGAAGAUUAAUACCGCAUAACCCAUAGCUUCCGCAUGGAAGCAAUGGUAAAGAUUUAUCGCUUUGAGAUGGACCCGCGGCGCAUUAGCUAGUUGGUGAGGUAACGGCUCACCAAGGCCACGAUGCGUAGCCGACCUGAGAGGGUGAUCGGCCACAUUGGAACUGAGACACGGUCCAGACUCCUACGGGAGGCAGCAGUGGGGAAUAUUGCACAAUGGGCGCAAGCCUGAUGCAGCAACGCCGCGUGAGUGAUGAAGGCCUUCGGGUUGUAAAGCUCUGUCUUUGGGGACGAUAAUGACGGUACCCAAGGAGGAAGCCACGGCUAACUACGUGCCAGCAGCCGCGGUAAUACGUAGGUGGCAAGCGUUGUCCGGAUUUACUGGGCGUAAAGGGUGCGUAGGUGGAUAUUUAAGUCAGAUGUGAAAUCCCUGAGCUCAACUCAGGGCCUGCAUUUGAAACUGGAUGUCUGGAGUGCGGGAGAGGUAAGUGGAAUUCCUAGUGUAGCGGUGAAAUGCGUAGAGAUUAGGAAGAACACCAGUGGCGAAGGCGACUUACUGGACCGUAACUGACACUGAGGCACGAAAGCGUGGGUAGCAAACAGGAUUAGAUACCCUGGUAGUCCACGCCGUAAACGAUGAGUACUAGGUGUAGGG